GGUAAAUGUUCCAUGAUAAUGGAUUAGGUAAAUAUUCCAUGAUAAUGGGUUAGGUAAAUGUUUCAUGAUAAUGGUUUAGGUAAAUGUUUCAUGAUAAGAAAUUCAUGUCUUUUGUAUUAAAGAAUUAAAUGGAUGAAAUAUGAAGUUUUAUUAAAAGAAAAAGGGGUGAAAAGAACAAAGUUUUGUCCAUCUUUGUUCAUCCUAGCCUAAAGUUAGAGAAGAGAAAGGAGAGGAGAAAGCUCUUAAAUGUUCGGUCACUUGGGGAAGAAAAUUGAAGGAAAUCCCCAACCAUAGUGGGCUUGGAGCUAUGAGGGAAUUCGGAGUGGCCACCCGUUCUGAAAGUUUGAUUUUCUUCUGGUGAACUGGACAUCCUUUUAAUUACGUUUGAGGUUUUGGGCUUUUAAAUGUAAUAAGGCCGCUUAUUUAUUUUUGAUGGUUUUUAAUAUGUAUUACUAAGAUAGGUAAUACUUAUUUUAACUGUUGAAAUUAGAUAGCUUUAGGGCGCGUUUUCAAAAACAA
Gossypium arboreum is the source of this 519-nucleotide long non-coding RNA. RefSeq lists it as uncharacterized. NCBI's taxonomy places the organism in Eukaryota, Viridiplantae, Streptophyta, Magnoliopsida, Malvales, Malvaceae. The record is from RefSeq and is a predicted model, not a curated record. The transcript has 2 exons.